AUGCCAGACUAACAAGCCACUGCUGUGUGGUCAGGACAAAAGCAGCCUGCCCCUUCCAGGGAGCCAGGGAGCCAGGCAGCCAAGGACCCAAGGAGCCAGCCUCAUGACAGCUUCAUGACCACCACAGCGAGGGUUAGACUUCACGCCACCCUCUGUCCUUUCAGUGCCAAACUCCUGGAGACCCAGAAGUUCCUUGGACAGGAUGGUUCUCAUCUUGUGAUAUGGCUCUAGCUGUUCUCAACUUGCAGAAUUUAGGGUCCACAGGAAAGAGAGCUGAGCGUUGGAGAGACGGAUGUGUGAAUGUCUGGACUGUACUGAGAGGCGCAAUGGGGCAGAACAAGAUGUCCCACCCCGGAACUGCUUCUGAAGUCUGGACCUGAGAGGGAAGGAUGAAUAGUCAGCAGGGUGGAUGUACAGCAGAAUUCACAGCCAUCAAGGUCGAAGAAUAAACCUGAGCUACUGAAUGUCCCUGAGACUGCAGGGUUGGCUGGUGCUGCAGAGUGGCUUAACAACCAGCCACUGUCAAAGCUUCUCAUUCAUACUGGUGAAAUACUAAGUAAGACAUGGCUGGAGGAAGUGCCUGGGUUCUGGCUCUGUCUGAAAUUCCCUUUUGUCAUCUGAAUUUUCUGUGUUCACCACCAAUAUGGGCUGCAUUUUAAUGGCAUAUUUAAUAUUAACAGCAGAAAAUUAUGAAUCAUCUUGUAAAUACUCAAAGUUCAGAGUUGAAAUACCAAAACAUCGUCAGCU
Long non-coding RNA from Cavia porcellus (domestic guinea pig), 747 nucleotides. RefSeq lists it as uncharacterized. The transcript is spliced from 2 exons. Lineage: Eukaryota; Metazoa; Chordata; Mammalia; Rodentia; Caviidae. The record is from RefSeq and is a predicted model, not a curated record.